This 279-nucleotide unclassified non-coding RNA is filed under the name plant metagenome. RNAcentral's name for it is "partial contains small subunit ribosomal RNA, internal transcribed spacer 1, and 5.8S ribosomal RNA". The record is from RNAcentral.
UUUCCGUAGGUGAACCUGCGGAAGGAUCAUUUCUGAACUUUUGCGCGACGGGCUAGCGCUUAUUCGCAUGUGCUUUCUUUCUCAUCCUUUAUAGACCUGUGCUCUGUUGCAGGGCGACAUUAGGAGACAUUCACUUGUCGACGGUCUCUCCCUUCACACUACAUACUCUUAGGAUUACUUUGAUUGUUUAUACGCUUAAAAGCAUUUAAUUACAACUUUUAACAACGGAUCUCUUAGCACUCGCACCGCAGAAGAACACAGCAGAUCGGAAAACCACAC